AAAAGCUUGCUUUCUUUGCUGGCGACCGGCGCACGGGUGAGUAACACGUAUCCAACCUACCCUUUACUCGGGGAUAGCCUUUCGAAAGAAAGAUUAAUACCCGAUAGCAUAAUGAUUCCGCAUGGUUUCAUUAUUAAAGGAUUCCGGUAAAGGAUGGGGAUGCGUUCCAUUAGGUUGUUGGUGGGGUAACGGCCCACCAAGCCUUCGAUGGAUAGGGGUUCUGAGAGGAAGGUCCCCCACAUUGGAACUGAGACACGGUCCAAACUCCUACGGGAGGCAGCAUG
This 284-nucleotide ribosomal RNA is filed under the name uncultured bacterium. RNAcentral's name for it is "partial 16S ribosomal RNA". It matches the Rfam family "Bacterial small subunit ribosomal RNA", at positions 74 to 353 of the family's 1533-position model. The record is from RNAcentral.